Long non-coding RNA from Tympanuchus pallidicinctus (lesser prairie-chicken), 4286 nucleotides. RefSeq lists it as uncharacterized. The transcript has 4 exons. Lineage: Eukaryota; Metazoa; Chordata; Aves; Galliformes; Phasianidae. The record is from RefSeq and is a predicted model, not a curated record.
GCCUGCAGUGCUUGAUAAAAUUCAAAUCAAAUACUUUGUUGGCAUGAUAAGCUCUGUAAAGCAGUGCCAAAGAAGAAAAAAAAUAAAUGGAAAAAGACCCUCAGAUACUCUGCUUCUAGCUCAGGUUACUGCCUGCCCAACAUUUGUCUAUCUUGUAGCUGGGGAUUUUAUUCUCUGUCUCCAUUUAUCUCCACUGUUAUAUCCUCAUUCGAUUCCAAGUAGCUUCACAGCAGAUUGCUCCUGCUCUUUUGUGUGCCCAUCUCAGAGAAGGUGGCUGUUUCUACAGGGAACAAUGUUCCUGGCUGUACGUGGUUGGAAGUGGAUAAAGGAAAGACCCUAGGACUGACAGGAGAUGGUGACAGGAGAAAUGUGUCCGAAGCAGGCAUGCAUAUGAGCUGAGAAGAGAGCAGAUACUACCUGCUAUUAGGAACAGAAGUGAUUUUUUUUUCUUUGUGAUUAAAAAGAAUAGAUUGAUAAUUUAAAUUGUCUUGGGCAGAAGAAAACAGUUUUCAUUAGAGAGGAAGCAAGGAAGCAGAGGGGCUAGUGACAAUAACACAGCAUACAGUGAUGAAGUGAACUCUUAGUGAAAAGGAAGGUAUUCUACAUACACCUCUCAAAAUAUGAGCACUGCAGAUGAUUGGUGUAGAUUUGCUGGAGAUCAGCCUGCUGCAGAGAGGUGAGGUAAUGCAAGGAGUCCAAGGAAUAUCAAAUUACCUGUCUGAAAAACCAUAUGAGUGUUCUGUUCGUGAAUAUUCUAGUGUAUAACCAAAGCAGGUACUAAGCUGUGUCUGCCUGAGAAAGAUGAUGAGUCCUUCUUUUCCCUGACAUGAUUUCCUAACUAGGAAACGAUGCUGGCCUUAUCACUGUAACACAGAUCUAUUACCUAUGAGUGUCUCCUUCACAUGAGCUCUGUCUAUAUCAAGGCCUGAGCCAGGAUGCUGGACAGUUGGGAGGCAUGCAUGUGGCUGUGCCAUGAACUUACAGCUUGGCUUUGAGAACAUCACAGGUUUGUGCUUCUUCCUCCCUUUAUCAGCUUCUUCUGAAAGUAUCCCAAGGCAUAGGCAAUCCUCUCCCAUUUCUAGUGAGUCUGGCACAAUGUGCAUAGACUUAGCUAGGGCUUUGGUGCUCUACUAUACUCAGCAUAUUUUAGUUGUUUUUUUUUUUGCUAGAUUUUAGUUGAGAAAUAAUGGGAUUUUGGAUUAAACUAUAUGUUUGAUGUGAUUUCCUCUUCCCUUUAAGGAUUGAAAUAUGCAGUCAGGUGCAUGCCUGUAACAGUUGUAUGUUGAGUGUCAGCCUGAACCUCUGAUUGACCACUUGAGGCAAGCACUGAGUCAGCCAUGGGAGCACAGGUGAAGGCGAUUCAGCUGUGUGAUGGAAGGGGUGGAGCCUGGCUGCACCUCUCUUAGACCCUAUUUAAGGGCUGACUGCUGCUGGAGAAGGAUCCUUUUCUGGAGAUCUUUCUUCUGUGGGGUUUUUCCUGUGAACCUAGAUCUUUGGAUACAGCAGAAGAUAGGAAUGUGAAGACCACAAUGCAGGUCUUUACAGCUUGAAGGGACUUCAUGGCAAGUUCUUUGGUUUAUCUGGACUGUAAGUCACAUCUGCACUGUUUGUGCAGUGAACAUUGUCCACAGUGUAAAGAGGCCAUCAGUCCAUCUGCCAUGGAGGUCCUAAGGACAGAGGAUGCUGUUGCUAUGACUUAAUGUGACCUGCAUGAGAAGAGCCCUACAUCUAAUUACUAUUAUACCUACUCUAAUUGUAAUGUAUUUUAGAAAUAAAAAUAAUAUAGUCUUUUGUUGAUGACAGUUACAGUUGUAAAAAGAGAUUAAGUGAAUGGCUAGCAUAAGUGAUAAAGUUACAGGCCUAGCUUCCCUCCAAGACAUGUCGUCUACCUUCACAGUGGCCCACUCAGGCUGUGAUGCAUUUUUUCUGAGAUACUCUUCCAUAUAGAGUCAGGACUGUUUAAAGAGUCCAUCAACAUCAGGCACUUUGGCACGUGUUAUGAGUUUUAUGGUACAAGGAAAGCUUUGUAACUGUGCCUGAACUGUGACAGUCCAUGGGUCUGAUUGCAGACUAUAUUUGUACUGCUAAGUGCCUUGGGAGCAGCAGCCCAAUUUUUGUUCCAUAUCAUAAGAGGAGAGAGAAUGUGUUUAUUCAAAAAAAAAAAAAAGUCACAAAAUAUUAUUUGGAACAAAUGAAUGUCAAAGGAGAUCUCUGAAUAGUGCAGUGUAGCCAGAGUUGUAUUCUAAAGUGGCCAGUUCAUUCCAAAAUAGCUAAGCUGGUAGCAAAGGAAUUACUGAGUUCAGUUAUUUUCAGUGUUUUUCAUUAGACUUAGGUAUUGAUUUUUAACUAAUUAUCACUUACUACAGGUCACUGCAAAUCCAAAGUUAUGAAUUUGGAAAAGGAACUUAAGCAUGGCCAGGGAAUCAUGACUUACAAUUGAGGCUCAAUUAGGAUUUUUCCACCAACGUGGAUUUUACAGGUGUAAAAAUUGUAAUGUUUUGUCACUGUUAGAAGCUUUUAAUGAUAUAAAUAAAGAGAAAUCAGAGAAUUUUCAAUUCUAACAGACAUACAAGGAAAAAAUGUUUUACCAGCAGAAUAGUUCAAUUCUGAAGAAGCGGACAAUUACAAAGUCUUUGGUUUCUAUUACGUUUAGUGGUAUGUGGAUUCCAGGAUAAGUAUUUUAAAUGGACAAUUAAUUGCAGAGAAAGGGAGGGAGGCCUCAUCCUGACUGCACAGCUAUGUCAUUGAUCUUAUGUGGUUUUGGCUUCUAUUUCUUUUAUCUUAAAAGAUAUGUGACCCUGUCCAUAAAGUCAGGAGAAAACAACCUAGAGAGGUCCAAUGGGACUCUAUUAAAGACAAAGUCUUCUCACAGAACAAACAAGAAACAACUAAAAUAAAGACUAUUAGACUAUUUUAUGGAACUUCCACUGCCAAAGCUAGAAGCAGUCUGAGGUGAGAAGUGUUGAAGUGGAAGGCUUUCUUGUUCAGCAUCAAUCAAGAAGUGCUGAAGAGCAAAUUCAUUGCAUACAGAGCAUAAAGAACCCAAGCUGAUGAACUCUCUGUAUCUGUACUUCUUCUAAGAGUGUAGAUGAAAAUUGUAACAGCUCCAGAAACACUAGUAUAUAACGCUUCCAGUUUUGUCAGUGCUCAGACAAAGGUGACUGGGGUCAGAUGGUCUAGACUGUGGAAAAUCCUGAGCUGAAUUUUUCCUUGGUGAUCUCUCACCCACCAGUGCCAUACAUUUGAGAUAAGUGAAAUAUCGGUUUCUGAUUGCAUUCUUGUGUGUAAAUUAUGUAGAGGAUGUAAAGGACCAACAAAAUAUUUUCUGACUUUCCAUGGUAUGCUUCUCAUUUAGACUGUGUUAAAUUCUCAUUAAAGUUGGUGAUUGUGUGUGGACCUUUGCAUAUUAUUUACCUUAUUGUAACCAGGGUUAUUUGUGAAUCUGAUUGCCCCUUCCUUUUUCUUACAAGCAAGAUGUGACAGGAGGUCAUUCUGAAAAAUUUCAACUGGAGAUGACCUCAAGUCAGUCACUAACAGUGGGGUCUGGAGCUUGUGGAUAAGUUUGGCAUCACUGUCCUAGCUGUGGGAUCCAGAACCCUGUCUGUGUGAUCUAAAUUUCUGGCUAAAGACUCAAAACUUCAUGUGGACUCAAACUCUGUUAUAUUUUAAAAUAAGAGUGAUCCAUAUUAAAGAAGCCAGUAAAGCCUUUCUAUAGUUUUGUCAACAGCAUGUUUCAUUUUUUUCAAAAGCUUUCUGACUCCAGUGGCAUCAAUCAUCAAAGCAACUCAAACUGUUUAGACUGCUUCUGGACCUUGCUUGAACUAUCCAUCAGGGGGGCUUUGGGAAUAGAAGAACAGCAAUUUUUUAGAGAAGAUGGAACAGUAAGGAAAAAGCUAAGCCAUGUCCUUUGUUUGAUUUCUCUUGUGAAAUGAAACAAAAGAAAAAGAUACUGAGCUGCCUGGACUAGUAGAAUGAGCAGUUCAAAACACUACAUUUUCAAUUUGUUUCACUGGAAAGAAGUUCUUUGCUGCUACCAUUUCUUCUGUUGUAUAAAAUACCUGUUUGCUCUUUAAAAUGUUCUAAAAAUAUAUAAGAAAAUGCGCACUCUAUGAACUGAGUUACUUCUGCCUCCUCACUUGCUCCUGUCAGCUCUCCUACUUAUGUUUAUUUGUCUUCAGAUUUUCCUAAUGUCCUGAUUUUUCUGCUGCUGCUGCCAGCACUUUGAGAGAUAGACACAUCACAGAAGUGAGAAAAGGAAGAAUCCAAUAAAAUUGGAGUUAAAUUCA